Ursus americanus (American black bear) is the source of this 211-nucleotide small nucleolar RNA. The record is from Ensembl. Lineage: Eukaryota; Metazoa; Chordata; Mammalia; Carnivora; Ursidae.
AAGACUAUACUUUUAAGGAUCAUUUCUAUAAUUUGUUACUAGAGAACUUUCUCUAAUUGUCUCAAGUACCCAAAACCAUGAGAAGGAGGUGUAGUGUUCUUUCCUGAGCAUGAAGCUGGCUCUAGGUGGUGUUUCUGCAACUGUCUUCUGCCAUUGAUGAUGGUUCUUCUCCUCCUUUGGGUAAGAGGGAGAGGACACAGUCUGAGUGGUU